This is a long non-coding RNA of Carcharodon carcharias (great white shark), 2621 nucleotides long. RefSeq lists it as uncharacterized. NCBI's taxonomy places the organism in Eukaryota, Metazoa, Chordata, Chondrichthyes, Lamniformes, Lamnidae. The transcript has 4 exons. The record is from RefSeq and is a predicted model, not a curated record.
UUUAAAUAAAAAUGUAAAAAUAAACAUUGAAAAAAGGGGCUCAAAAAGGGGUGAGGAUGGAAGAGAGAGUUCAGGAUCUGAAGUUGUUGAACUCAAUAUUAAGACUGAAGAGGCCAUGUUGUUGAUAUAAAGAGCAAUUUCACCACCCCGUGACAGAAUAUCGCUAUUGCAACUCCGGGAGCAGCAUCUGUCAGAGCCCAGGGUUUGGCAGGAAGGGCUGUGUGUCUGAUACACUCUUUGAUAAGUGUUCUUUCACCUUAUAUAUAAAUAAUUUUGACUCUUGCCUGUCCAUCCUUACACCAGUUUCUUUCCUGUUUUUGACAGUGUCACCGUCAGCAGUGUUCCGGUGUUCAGCAGCAUGGAGAGGCCGGCAGUGCAGCGUUGGGGCUGGGUGGUGACAGCGGCUGUGGUGAUCUGUCUGUUCGUGUACACAAGCACAGAUUAUUGGGCCAGAUUUUGCUGAAGUCGGACUUCUCACAAUGUAUGUCAUAAGUGAGACAAGAAAUAGGAAUGACAGAGAUGGAUGGUGAAUUAGAACCAAAUCAGGAACACUUCUUCUUUUGAAAGAAUUUUCCUUAGGCCACCCGACUGAAUGUGGAGACAAUGGGAGGUAUUUCCAGAGUUGGUUGUCUCAGCUUUCAGAUGAGAUGGGUAAACUGAAGCUUGCUGUUUCAGGUGGAUAUAAAAGAUUCUGUGGCACCAUUCAAAGAAGAGCAGGUCCGGCCUAAAAUGAAGGGGGUAAUGCAUUUUGUUGCUAUCGGAUUGACCAUCAUCAGAACUGCAGUUGAACCUGCCUAGUAGCCGUCAUAACGAAUGAAUGUGCCUGGAGCAGUGUCUACGGAAGAGGGAUAUCCCGAGACCAGGAUCAACUUUGCUCUGCAGAAUAAGACAGUCCGAACCAACAAAGAAAAAAGAGAGGACUUAAAUUUGUAUUAUACAGGAAUGGAUGGGUUAACGUGCGCAGGAAAAUCUUUGGGUAUACCGAAGGGAACAGGAGUACAGUUUUCAUGCAACAAAGUUCUAGAGAUGACAUUGUCAGUAAUCCCAGAGGAAAAAAUUAUUAGUCAAUUUGUGGGUCCAUUUAUUGAGUGACCAUCGGGGAGCGACGGUCGAGGUAAAAUUAUGGUCCAUUGGGACCACACCUAUGUGAAUAUUGACUGGGGUAGCAACUCAUACCAGAGAUCUCCAUUCUGCCUGUUAACAGCCAGUCCUUUUUACAAUACGCCCUUGUGGGACCAACAUAUUACAUAGCUACAGCGGCUACAAACUAUAGCAAAGGAUGGAAACAGUGCCCUCUAGAAGGACACAAUGUGGCCAUUAACAAUGUGACCUUAGACCUGGUUAUCAGUGGACAAGUUCUGCCUAAGCCAAUAAUGAGGAUGGUAAUAAAUGAAAACCUUACAGUCCAACGUACCAAUAUAGACCAAGAUCUGUAGAAAUCCGUUCCUACGGAACUGCCACCUAUUCUGCACCUGACUGCGGAUUGGACACAAAUAGCGGAGAAAGCCAAUGAGAUAAUUCAUCAAUGGACUAAACAUACUAAAAUAAUUAGAACUCAUGCUGAUAAAGCAGAGGAACUGCUACGGGACCCCAAGUUCUGGGUUAAGUUUUGGAAUUGGGGAUCUAAUGUUCAAAUACAUCCAUGGGUCAGGAUUUUAUCACUUGCUGCUGUACUUGUGAUGAUAUGUGCUUUAAUGCUUGUCGUAUUCAACAUAUAUCAGCUUAGAAGGUGGAAAAUUGAAAUUUUGCACCGAUUGAAUGUUAGUGCUAUAAUGAAACAGAAGAAACGAUUAUCAGUAUAAGGAUACUGUGUGAAGAAUAUUUUAUAUACACUUCUCUUUUAUAUUUUUAUAUAACCAUAUAUCACGGAUGUUAUAUGUCCAUUGGGGUACAAUGACAACCUCAGGAGUGGUACACUGAAAAGGAGAAUAAUGAUCCUAAGAUAAGUAUCUUUGGAUCAGAAGGGGGGAGAUGUUGGCCAGGGGCUGCAGCUGAAUUGCUGACACAAGCAAAAGCAACUUUUGAUCUGAAGUAACCUGAGUCCAGUUACUGGCCUGAGCAACUUUUGAAACCUGACUCCAGUCACUGGUCUCAUCUGGCUGGAACCGGUUUUAAAGUAGCUGAGUGUCUUGAAGACAAAGGAAAUGUGAUGAGUCCUUAUUUAGAAAAGGAAGAAUGAGGUGAUAUUGCAGGUCUUGGAACAGAGCCAAUGAGAAUGUGCCACAGAUCAGGCAAGCAGGCCUAAACCAAUGGGAAAGAGAUAGCACAGCUUGAAGAGAUGAGAUUCAGUAUAAUAGUGGGAGGUUUUCGGGCAUGGGGCAGCAAGACUCCGGAGACCAACCAUCACAGAAGCAAAAGAACCUACAUCAGCAAUGUAGAGACACAAGAGAGAGAGAACGGAAUGAAUGCCUGGCCAGUGUCAGCUCUCCUUUUCGGGUAUUAGCUUUUAUAUUCUGUGACCACUCAGGGAGUGUCAGAGAAACCUAGUGGGUGUGCAUUUAGAUCCUAGUUUUGGGUAUAAAACUGUAUAACCUAUUGUAAACUGCAUGUCUAUAUUUGACCAGAUGUAUAAACCAAAUGUAGAUGAUCUAAAGACGUGAAUAAAGCGAUUUUAGAAUUAA